AGCACAAGUUUCUUUAAUCUAAUUAUUUUUUAAUUCAUAUGGAGUCUGGCUGAGAUAUUAAAAAGGGCCAAAUCUGGAAAAAAUUCCUCCACUUUUACCCCAUGUAGAUUUUUCGUUUGUUGGAGCACAAUUUUGAAACUUUCAGCCGUAUACAUUUUUUUUCCUUGGUUGCUACUUAAAUAAAAACCAGGGAUGUAGCUGCUGUCUGAGAUAAACUCCUUUUCACUUGUACUUUCAUCUGCCUGCCCCUGCUUUUUUAAUGCCUGUAUGGCAUUCCCAACUUUGCAGUUUUUUUUUGUCACUUAAAGCAUUAUUUGUUUUUCUCCUGCGUUUUGAAGCAGCCUUUUGUUUUACCUCUAAUGUUGUCACUUCCUCCUCCUUCUCUUCCUCCUCGACCUGUUCGCACCAUGUCAUCUUUUCCACUGUACCAUUAUUCUGUACUUCACCUGCCUCUCCAACCUGUGUUUUACUGACUUCACCUGUCUCCGUUUGCUCUUUGCUCUUUUUAUCUAUUUUCUUUUCAUUUUCAUCACCCACUUUACUUUCACCUGCCUCACCCAAAACACUUUCCUCACUUUUCUGUACAUCAUUAAUACACACACCCUGUGAAACAUCACCACCUGCCUCAUGCACCAGGUCAGACACAGCAGUGGCGCGGUGCUGCAAGGUUUGCGGAGCCGCCACAGGCCACCCAGUCAAAGCUAUCACAUCCGUAACAGCAGCCACCGCCAGGGGGGGGUCCCUCACCACCACCGUCAGCGGCCGCCCCCUGCGGUGGGAUCUCCCCCUCAGCAGCAGCCACCUGUCGCUCGACUACAACCGGCGCAGCUGCGGACGGCUCCACAGCAGCCGCCGCCCCUCCUGGACCAGACGAAGCUGGCUCCCCGCGCAGGCUCUCACGGUGUGUCCCUCCUCUCCACAACCAAAACACUUCAUAACUGAUGAAGUCGCACAAAUCACAUAUUCAUAAUCAUCUACUUUAAUGUAGAAGCUGAGGUUGAGC
This 1003-nucleotide long non-coding RNA is filed under the name Cottoperca gobio. RNAcentral describes it as "lncRNA (ENSCGOG00000006960.1)". The record is from RNAcentral. Lineage: Eukaryota; Metazoa; Chordata; Actinopteri; Perciformes; Bovichtidae.